Molecule: ribosomal RNA, 164 nt
Filed under: uncultured bacterium
Lineage: Bacteria
Description: partial 16S ribosomal RNA
Rfam family: Bacterial small subunit ribosomal RNA
Source: RNAcentral
UAGGGAAUCUUCCACAAUGGGCGCAAGCCUGAUGGAGCAACACCGCGCGAGUGAAGAAGGGUUUCGGCUCGUAAAGCUCUGUUGUUAAAGAAGAACACGUAUGAGAGUAACUGUUCAUACGUUGACGGUAUUUAACCAGAAAGUCACGGCUAACUACGUGCCAG